UACGUAGGGGGCAAGCGUUGUCCGGAUUUAUUGGGCGUAAAGAGCGUGUAGGCGGCCAGGUAAGUCUGCUGUGAAAACUCGAGGCUUAACCUCGAGAUGUCGGCGGAAACCAUCUGGCUAGAGUCCGGAAGAGGAGAAUGGAAUUCCCGGUGUAGCGGUGAAAUGCGCAGAUAUCGGGAAGAACACCCGUGGCGAAGGCGGUUCUCUGGGACGGUACUGACGCUGAGACGCGAAAGCGUGGGGAGCGAACAGG
This 253-nucleotide ribosomal RNA is filed under the name uncultured bacterium. RNAcentral describes it as "partial 16S ribosomal RNA". It matches the Rfam family "Bacterial small subunit ribosomal RNA", at positions 524 to 776 of the family's 1533-position model. The record is from RNAcentral.